GGCUCAAUGGUCCAGUGGUAAGAUACUCGCUUCGGGUUAGAACUAUUCUAUAUUCUCUACCCAGUCUCUUGAACGAGACUUGAAAAUGUGAGUGGUCCCGGGUUCGAAUCCCGGUUGAGCCC
Non-coding RNA from Daldinia eschscholtzii, 122 nucleotides. The record is from the annotation of a GenBank genome assembly. Lineage: Eukaryota; Fungi; Ascomycota; Sordariomycetes; Xylariales; Hypoxylaceae.